This 488-nucleotide ribosomal RNA is filed under the name uncultured Propionibacterium sp. RNAcentral describes it as "bacterial SSU rRNA". It matches the Rfam family "Bacterial small subunit ribosomal RNA", at positions 1 to 507 of the family's 1533-position model. The record is from RNAcentral. Lineage: Bacteria; Bacillati; Actinomycetota; Actinomycetes; Propionibacteriales; Propionibacteriaceae.
AGUAGUUGAUCCUGGCUCAGGACGAACGCUGGCGGCGUGCUUAACACAUGCAAGUCGAACGGAAAGGCCCUGCUUUUGUGGGGUGCUCGAGUGGCGAACGGGUGAGUAACACGCGAGUAACCUGCCCUUGACUUUGGGAUAACUUCAGGAAACUGGGGCUAAUACCGGAUAGGAGCUCCUGCUGCAUGGUGGGGGUUGGAAAGUUUCGGCGGUUGGGGAUGGACUCGCGGCUUAUCAGCUUGUUGGUGGGGUAGUGGCUUACCAAGGCUUUGACGGGUAGCCGGCCUGAGAGGGUGACCGGCCACAUUGGGACUGAGAUACUGCCCAGACUCCUACGGGAGGCAGCAGUGGGGAAUAUUGCACAAUGGGCGGAAGCCUGAUGCAGCAACGCCGCGUGCGGGAUGACGGCCUUCGGGUUGUAAACCGCUUUCGCCUGUGACGAAGCGUGAGUGACGGUAAUGGGUAAAGAAGCACCGGCUAACUACGUG